AGUUUGUUUUGUGAUUUUCUCGUCUCUUUUGUCUUUUCAGGUGAUGUCAUGUUGUUCUUGAAGAUGUAUGACCCGAAAACAAGAAGCUUAAAUUAUUGUGGACAUAUCUACACGCCUAUAUCCUGCAAAAUAAGAGACCUGCUACCAGUCAUGUGUGAGCGAGCAGGCUUUCAGCAGGAAACUAGCCUUAUCCUCUAUGAGG
Molecule: long non-coding RNA, 202 nt
Organism: Hippocampus comes (tiger tail seahorse)
Lineage: Eukaryota; Metazoa; Chordata; Actinopteri; Syngnathiformes; Syngnathidae
Exons: 2
Source: RefSeq, a predicted model, not a curated record